UACCUGCAGCUCAAGUGGUGGCCGCUAUUAUUGGGCCUAAAACGUUCGUAGCCGGUUUGGUAAAUGCCUGGGUAAAUUGUGUAGCUUAACUAUACAAAUUCCGGGUAGACUGCCAAACUUGAGACCGGGAGAAGCUGGAGGUACUCCUGGGGUAGAGGUGAAAUUCUGUAAUCCUGGGGGGACCACCAGUGGCGAAGGCGUCUAGCUAGAACGGGUUUGACGGUGAGGAACGAAGCCCUGGGGCGCAAACCGGAUUAGAUACCCGGGUAGUCCAGGGUGUAAACGCUGCUUGCUUGAUGUUAGUUGGGCUCCGAGCCCAAUUAGUGUCGGAGAGAAGUUGUUAAGCAAGCUGCCUGGGAAGUACGAUCGCAAGAUUGAAACUUAAAGGAAUUGGCGGGGGAGCACAGCAACGGGUGGAGCGUGCGGUUU
Molecule: ribosomal RNA, 429 nt
Filed under: uncultured archaeon
Lineage: Archaea
Description: bacterial SSU rRNA
Rfam family: Archaeal small subunit ribosomal RNA
Source: RNAcentral